RNAcentral lists this unclassified non-coding RNA (330 nucleotides) under soil metagenome. RNAcentral's name for it is "partial contains 5.8S ribosomal RNA, internal transcribed spacer 2, and large subunit ribosomal RNA". The stretch from base 1 to 121 matches the Rfam family "5.8S ribosomal RNA", at positions 35 to 154 of the family's 154-position model. The record is from RNAcentral.
GAUGAAGAACGCAGCAAAAUGCGAUAAGUAAUGCGAAUUGCAGAAUUUCCGUGAAUCAUCGAAUCUUUGAACGCACAUUGCGCCCCUUGGUAUCCCGAGGGGCAUGCCUGUUCGAGCGUCAUUUCACCACUCAAGCCUGGCUUGGUGUUGGGCGACGUCCUCUUUGGGGACGCGCCUCGAAACGCUCGGCGGCGUGGCACCGGCUUUAAGCGUAGCAGAAUCUUUCGCUUUGGAAGUCGGGGCCCCGUCUGCCGGAAGACCUGCUCGCAAGGUUGACCUCGGAUCAGGCAGGGAUACCCGCUGAACUUAAGCAUAUCAAUAAGCGGAGGA